GUAAGGUUCUUGUGGUAACGUCCUUGCCUUUCAACAGUUAUGAGUACAGUACAAUUCUAAGUGUGAAGCCCAUUGCCGUACCUGAGAUCUCAAUUUACAGUUAAAGGCUUUAACUUAUCUACGCCCUUGGCAAGGCUACACUGCAUUAGAAGGGAGCUAUCUUGUUCUAGAAGCCAGUAUAGAGGAAUCAGAACAUAGUAAUGAGCUUGAGGAGCAUCAUGAAAUCCAAUCUGUAAAUUUUACAUGUUCUUUUCCUGAAGCAGCUGGUAGAGGCUUCAUAGAUGUAAAUAACUUUUUAAAUCUUCUUAUUUUGGGAUCAGCUAUUCAUCCUGUGUCUUAGAAAAUGGCAUUAGAGGAUCUUCUUCAGAGAGGUGAUUGGCAAGGUAAUUUCCAUGCUCUCACUCUGUGAUGGGUCUCCUUCACAAAGCUGUUAGGAGAAAUUCAAGGCCUUUGGUGGAGCUACUGUUGAGAUAUACUCCAGAUAGAGUAGCUGAUGAGCUGAGGUUGGAAUAUGAGGAGGCUCUAGGUGGUGGAUUUUUGUUUAGACCUAAUAAACUAGGUCUUUCAUGUUCAACACCUCUGCAUGUUGCAGCUAGAUUGAUAAUGUAUUACUACGUAUUUUUUAAACACUUAAUGUAGAUUGAUAAUAUUUUAGAUUGAUAUUGUAUUAUUAUUUGAAUUUAAUGUGGAUUGAUAA
Ipomoea nil (Japanese morning glory) is the source of this 697-nucleotide long non-coding RNA. RefSeq lists it as uncharacterized. The record is from RefSeq and is a predicted model, not a curated record. The transcript is spliced from 2 exons. Lineage: Eukaryota; Viridiplantae; Streptophyta; Magnoliopsida; Solanales; Convolvulaceae.